RNAcentral lists this unclassified non-coding RNA (335 nucleotides) under soil metagenome. RNAcentral's name for it is "partial contains 5.8S ribosomal RNA, internal transcribed spacer 2, and large subunit ribosomal RNA". The stretch from base 1 to 120 matches the Rfam family "5.8S ribosomal RNA", at positions 35 to 154 of the family's 154-position model. The record is from RNAcentral.
GAUGAAGAACGUAGCGAAAUGCGAUAAGUAGUGUGAAUUGCAGAAUUCAGUGAAUCAUCGAAUCUUUGAACGCACAUUGCGCCCUUUGGUAUUCCUUAGGGCAUGCCUGUUCGAGCGUCAUUUAAACCUUCAAGCUCAGCUUGGUGAUGGGUGACUGUCCUCCCCUCGCGGGGGGACUCGCCUCAAAAACAUUGGCGGCCGGUACAUUGGCUUCGAGCGCAGCAGAAACGCGGUCUCGAGCCCGGUGGAUCGGCUCCCAUAAGCCUCUUCUUUUAUUUUGACCUCGGAUCAGGUAGGGAUACCCGCUGAACUUAAGCAUAUCAAUAAGCGGAGGA